RNAcentral lists this ribosomal RNA (540 nucleotides) under Triticum aestivum (bread wheat). RNAcentral's name for it is "partial small subunit ribosomal RNA". Lineage: Eukaryota; Viridiplantae; Streptophyta; Magnoliopsida; Poales; Poaceae. The record is from RNAcentral.
AUGAGAAUACUAUGCUGUAACUGCCGUGGGAUUGGCGAGCCCGCGACAGUGAGAGAACUCCGGGAGCUCAUUAGGGAGAGUGCGCCGUCGGUGGUGUGUAUUGUGGAGACUCAGUUAGCAAAAAAACGUGUGGAAGGCCUGACUUCAGUGUUAGGUUUUGAUGGUGGUUUUGCGGUGGUGAGUUCGGUUACGAGUGGAGGUAUUGGUGUGUUUUGGAGGAAUGGGGUGAACUUGGCAGUAAAGAACUACUCUAGGUAUCACAUCGAUUCCUGGGUCUCCGAGCAAGGGAGAGAGGAUUGGAGGCUCACUUGUUUCUACGGGGAAGCAAAUAGAAACUUAAGGCAGCAAACUUGGGAUACAAUGGCACGACUUAGGGGAGAGUCCACUCUCCCUUGGUUGUGCAUCGGUGAUUUUAACGAGGUGUUGCGGAGAGAAGAACAAAUGGGACCUAAUCUCCGGGAUGUUUCACAGAUGGGAGGAUUCAGGGAAGCCGUUGAUUUGUGCGGUCUUGAUGAUUUGGGGUAUAUCGGCUUGGACUGA